This 253-nucleotide ribosomal RNA is filed under the name uncultured bacterium. RNAcentral describes it as "partial 16S ribosomal RNA". It matches the Rfam family "Bacterial small subunit ribosomal RNA", at positions 524 to 776 of the family's 1533-position model. The record is from RNAcentral.
UACGUAGGGGGCAAGCGUUGUCCGGAAUCAUUGGGCGUAAAGAGCGCGUAGGCGGUCCGGUAAGUCGGUUGUGAAAACUGGGGGCUCAACCCUCAGAGGCCGACCGAUACUGCUGGGCUAGAGUCCGGAAGAGGCGAGUGGAAUUCCUGGUGUAGCGGUGAAAUGCGCAGAUAUCAGGAAGAACACCCGUGGCUAAGGCGGCUCUCUAGUACGGUACUGACGCUGAGACGCGAAAGCGUGGGGAGCGAACAGG